Molecule: long non-coding RNA, 1149 nt
Filed under: Calidris pugnax (ruff)
Lineage: Eukaryota; Metazoa; Chordata; Aves; Charadriiformes; Scolopacidae
Description: lncRNA (ENSCPUG00000000143.1)
Source: RNAcentral
AUGAGGCAGGAGGGGAUGCUCGGCGCCGAUGACACCCCCAGAGCAGCCCCCCUGCCCCCCCGUAAGAGAGACAGGAGCCGGCGGGGGCUGCUGCAGACUCCUUGGGGACAGAGCUGGGCUGGGGCAGGACCCCAGGGACAAUGGGGACGAGCCCCCCGCUUUUCCAGGGUGACUGUGCUGCUCUGCGGUGCAGGGGGGGGGCUGGCUGCAGGGCAUGGGGGGCAGAGUGGGGGGGCUCGGGGGGCCGGGCUGCAGCCAAAAGACCUGCCUCUCUGUUUCUGUUGUAGUGAAACCGCGGCCGUUUCCUUCUGGGACCAGGAAGGGCAAAAAAAAAAAACUCCACACACACACACGCACCGAGCGAGCGAGUCCCGGAGGAGCGCCGCGGCGAGCACGGACCGGCCGGAGGCACCGGAGGGGGGGCCCCUCUCUGCCCCCAGCCCCACGGCAGGGAGGGAGAGCCGAGCGGGGGGCGUCCGGAGGGGCCUCAGCCCGCCCAGCCGCAGGGCCUGGGCACCAACGUCUUCCUUUCAGCUGCGGCACGCUGCCCCUUUCCCUGGCUCUGGGGCAGGGGGGGGACCAGGCGCUGGGCUGGGAACCCGGCUUCGUGGUUUUUUUCCCCCCCACCCCGAGCUCCGGCGCUUGCCGGUCAUCAGCGUGUCGAGUGUGCGAGGCCUCAGCUCCCGCGUGGAGCCGGGGCGGCGGCGCAAGCCGCUUUGCCGAGGCGCUGGGCGUUGCAGGGGGGACGAGCCUCUGCCUUUUAAAGGGAAUUUUUGUUAAAAAGAGGAGCUUGCAACUCGCUUGCCAUCCCUUUUCCCCUCCUUCCCCUUCCCUCCAGCCCCUGACGCACCCGGGGCUCCCACCCCGUGGGGAGCAGCCCUGACCCACGCAGCUCCCCCUGCGCUGAGCCGGGAUGGGGACUGUCCCGCUCACCCCCCCCCCACCCGAGACAGCAGAACCCCGCCGCCCCUCGGCGUGGGGGUCUCGGCCCGGGAUGGGGGGCUGGUAUUGCCCGCAGGCACCGGCCCGAGCCCCGGGGUCGGUCUGCAGCAGCCGCCACGCCGGGUACGGUGCCUGGCAGCACGGGGCACCGCGGAGCCCACUUUGGGGUGCAGCCCCCUCCCGUGGGGCAGCCUCACGCUCAGCCCC